This 253-nucleotide ribosomal RNA is filed under the name uncultured bacterium. RNAcentral describes it as "partial 16S ribosomal RNA". It matches the Rfam family "Bacterial small subunit ribosomal RNA", at positions 524 to 776 of the family's 1533-position model. The record is from RNAcentral.
GACGUAGGGUGCAAGCGUUGUCCGGAUUUAUUGGGCGUAAAGAGCGUGUAGGCGGCCAUGUAGGUCCGGUGUGAAAACUCGAGGCUUAACCUCGAGAUGUCAUCGGAAACCAUUUGGCUAGAGUCCGGAAGAGGAGAGUGGAAUUCCUGGUGUAGCGGUGAAAUGCGCAGAUAUCAGGAAGAACACCAAUGGCGAAAGCAGCUCUCUGGGACGGUACUGACGCUGAGACGCGAAAGCGUGGGGAGCGAACAGG